UGGUUGCUAAAAUCCGUCGCCUAACCCAAAUCAAUUUUUUAAAAUCAAUUUUUACUUGUCACUUUUCAAGUUUCCCAAAUCAAAUUUCGCUUAACCCUGGAAUGCUGAACCAUAUUUUCGCCGCACCACCCAUCUUCUCACCAUCAUUUAACCCUCACGCGUUCACCCUAAAUCAAAUUUUCACCGCUUCUCCACCGCAACACCGCUUUUCACACAUCUGUUCUCCUCUUCUCCACCCAAACUGACACAUUCACGUUUCCCUUCGUGGUCACAGAGAUAACGACCUCAACCUCCGCUGUCUCAAAUGAUGUCGUUUUCAAAUAUCCGAUCGCUCUUCCUCGUCCUUUGUCUUCGAAUCAGUCAUCUAGUCUUGUUUUCGAUGUCUCACGACUUCAUGUUGCAUAUCAGAUGUUUAUUUGAUAGGUUGGUGAUAGUCGUGCAAUUUUAGCUGCUCGGAUUGGGAAUCAUCCUCAACUCACCAUGGAUCAUAGCACUCAUGUGAAAAGUAGGUUUUUGCGACAUGUUGAAAUUGAGUAAUUACUCAAUUUGAUUCUCAACAAUGUAGAAUCGUAUCAACUCAGUUCUCUACAUUAGAUUUUGAAUUGUGAACUUCGAGCAAAGGACAUGCUGCAACAUAUCUGCAUAGGUCCAAUUUCCAAUGAAUCAUUUGUUCGAAUGAGCAUAUCAGUUAAGUUAAAACAGGACAUUGAGGAUUCGAAUUAGUUCUUGAUUUGGUUUGUGUUGCAUUGGGGAACAAAUUCACUCUGAUUUCAUUCAGAAGAGCAUGAAUGCUAGAAGUGUGAGGCAGAACCAUAUAUUUUGUUAGGAUCAAAGAGGAGGUGAGAGUAAGGCUAUGCCAUUGUUGUACUUUCCACAAGAUCAAGGUGGAGUGAGGGUAAUUUAUAGUAUAUCUUUAAGUUGUUAUUCUAUUUUCGCAUCUUUGAUGAAGCUAUUCUUUUAUUUUUAUUUUUGAUGAUCCUACUAGUGUCUCACCAAUUAGCGAGUCAAACUUUUAAUAUUUUUGAUGAUCCAGAACUUAUAGAGAUGAAAAGAAAAGCAAAUACACAAGUUUGAAGGAAAUGGUUACACUUUUAAGGUAAAGCACUUUUGAAGUUCAAGCAAGGAAUUAUGAGUGACCCUUUUGAUGCUUUGUCAAAUUGGGUUGAUGAUGAAUUUGGUGUUGACCCUUGUAACUGGUUUGGAGUUGAAUGUUCAUAAGGAAGAGUUGGGUUAUUGGUUGUUGAUCUGGAGGAAGAAUAAUACAAUGGAGACAUUAAGAAAAGGAAAACACGAGUGUCACUGUUAAAGUAAAUGAGUGUCACUGUUCAAGUCUCUUAACUAUGACCAAAUAGGUUCCUUUGAUUUUGUGCUUAUAAGUAAUAGUGAAUGAUACUUCCACAUUUGUGUAUUGUUAAGAACAUGUUAUAUGUAUAUCAUAUACAGUAUAUGAUUAUUGUUUGAGAUUCUUAACCAAUUUUGGGAUCAAUAUAAAUUGGUUGGUAAUGCUUGUAAUUGGAAUUGAGUAGCCAUACUUUGUAUG
Long non-coding RNA from Trifolium pratense (red clover), 1540 nucleotides. RefSeq lists it as uncharacterized. The record is from RefSeq and is a predicted model, not a curated record. The transcript has 8 exons. Lineage: Eukaryota; Viridiplantae; Streptophyta; Magnoliopsida; Fabales; Fabaceae.